RNAcentral lists this ribosomal RNA (512 nucleotides) under uncultured Bacillota bacterium. RNAcentral's name for it is "bacterial SSU rRNA". It matches the Rfam family "Bacterial small subunit ribosomal RNA", at positions 355 to 858 of the family's 1533-position model. The record is from RNAcentral. Lineage: Bacteria; Bacillati; Bacillota.
UAGGGAAUCUUCCGCAAUGGACGAAAGUCUGACGGAGCAACGCCGCGUGAGCGAUGAAGGCCUUCGGGUCGUAAAGCUCUGUUGUUAGGGAAGAACAAGUACCGGAGUAACUGCCGGUACCUUGACGGUACCUAACCAGAAAGCCACGGCUAACUACGUGCCAGCAGCCGCGGUAAUACGUAGGUGGCAAGCGUUGUCCGGAAUUAUUGGGCGUAAAGCGCGCGCAGGCGGUCCUUUAAGUCUGAUGUGAAAGCCCACGGCUCAACCGUGGAGGGUCAUUGGAAACUGGGGGACUUGAGUACAGAAGAGGAAAGUGGAAUUCCACGUGUAGCGGUGAAAUGCGUAGAGGUGUGGAGGAACACCAGUGGCGAAGGCGACUUUCUGGUCUGUAACUGACGCUGAGGCGCGAAAGCGUGGGGAGCAAACAGGAUUAGAUACCCUGGUAGUCCACGCCGUAAACGAUGAGUGCUAAGUGUUAGAGGGUUUCCGCCCUUUAGUGCUGCAGCAAACGC